Bombina bombina (fire-bellied toad) is the source of this 1359-nucleotide long non-coding RNA. RefSeq lists it as uncharacterized. The record is from RefSeq and is a predicted model, not a curated record. NCBI's taxonomy places the organism in Eukaryota, Metazoa, Chordata, Amphibia, Anura, Bombinatoridae. The transcript is spliced from 3 exons.
UUUUAUAAAUUUUUGCUCAAAUGAUAAUGAUAUUGUGCAUUGGGUAACAUGAAAUCUAAUAUGAAUAACACUAACUGGUAAUUUAUAAAUGAAAUUUGUGAAUAUGUUUUGUAUGCUAUAUUAUUUAUUGUAUAAUGUAUGUUAUAUCUUGUAUUAUCUGAUUGGCUAUGAGGGCAUUAUCAAUUAAGCUGACUCCUCCCAUUAUCACCUGUUCAUUAUUAUCCUAUUUGGGUUUAGGGUAUAUCUAGCAAGUGUUCAGUAAAUAUUUUAUGAAGCCUGAUGAAACAGCCAUUGGCUGAGAAACGCGUUGCCUGUAUUUUUAUAAUUUUUAUUAAAGUCAUUUUUAGCAUUUGAACACUUGCUGCUCUUUCUUUGGGAUUUUUCUACCUUUUUAUUUGAGUAUAAUCACAAUUUGGACCACUGUGGGAUCCUCUGAACUACUGAAUCUACUUGGAUGCCUUGCCACAAGUCUGUUGGGUGACUGAAUUGAUCCCUUCAUGCUCCUAUAGCAUCAAAAGAGGUGCUUUAUAUAUUGUGAGUACCACUCUUAUCAUUGUUUGAAUCUGUCAACUUGUACCAACAAUACUAGGCCAUACAGGCACCUGUGUCUCCUCUCUGUCCACACAGACAUCAGUUCCUGUACAGGAAGUUGGUCUUCUGGGUGACCGAAUAGAUCCCAGACUGCCUACUUAGCACUAAUUGAGGUGCUCUUCUAAAUCGCAAGGUACAGAUGUGAAAAAGCCGAUAAUGUCACUGAUCUGUGAAAGCGCACGGCUUCUGUCACAUGAUGCAGCAAUAUGCGCACUACAAGAUGGGAGCUUAACCAACUGAAUUCUGUAAAGGGUUAAAUGACUGAACAGAGCUGCGGGCACAAGAGGAAAACACUAAUAUGGGGUGCGGAGCCAACCACCGAGAAGAGCAGACGUGUAUGAGCUGAGCUCCUGCUUAAUGAACUAAAAAGAUGGAAACACUUUAAUAUUGCAAGCCCUGACUCUCUUUAUUAAGGUCCACUAUCUCUCAUACAUUUAUAGGGGAGAGUGAGAACAGAGGAAAACCUAUUUGGAGGAUGUUUGCAAAGCUAUUGCAUCUCAAUGUCGCCACGCGGUAAGCACUGAAGUUCUAUCUCCCGAGCCAUCCUUCUUCAGCAAUUAAUGACUACGGAGGAUCUAACUGACCACGCUUUGUCCUUUCUUGGAUCUCUGGGGGAAAAAUCUACGGGUUGUGGGUUCCAUACACUUGUGGUGUAAUAUUACAAAAUGUCUCCUUUAGAGAUCCCUUCCAGAUUCAUGGAGACACUGAGAGGUCUACUCGACAGACACCAUGCUGACCUGGAAAAUUUGCUAUAUAAAGCUCCCAAGU